AUGGCGGUUGUUCUUGAUGCUUUGGCAGCCCGUGUGAUAGAAAAGAUCACGAACAUCGGAGAAGAGAAGAUCCGCAUGCUGCUAGGCGUCUCCCAGGAGAUCAACAAGCUGCGAGGCAACGUGGAGCCCCUCCAAAACCUCCUCACCGAUGCCGAGAGGAGGCGCAUCACUGACAAGAACGUGCAGGCAUGGGUGACCAAGCUCAAGAGCGCCAUGUACGAGGCCGAUGACAUCCUUGAUCUCUGCCAGCUCGAGGCCAUGGAGCGAGAGGAGAAGGAGCACCCCAUCGGUGGGGGUGCCUCCCGCUGUUUAUCCCUCCGGGAGAAGCUGCCAUUUGUGGGGUGCCUCCAGCCGUUCCUGUUCUGCGUGAAGAACCCUGGAUUCGCCAAUGAGGUAGGCGGCCGCAUCAAGAAGCUAAAUGAUGAGCUGGCCACCAUCCGCAUGGGCGUCGCUGACUUCAACUUCAUUGAACUUGGCUCCUACGAGCAACGGAGGAGGCCGCCGGCCAGUUUGGCUUCCCACCCCAGGCGCGAGAAUGCACAGUUUGUCCAAUCAGAUCUUGUGGGGGAUCAGAUCAAGAAGAAUACAGAGGAACUGGAGCAUAGGCUCAUCGCCGACAGUCGCCACGAGCAUGGUAGCACCGUCAUCAAGGUGGUGGCCAUAGUUGGCCAGGGCGGUAUAGGGAAGAGCACCCUCGCCAAGAAGGUCUUCGCAAGUGAGGCCAUCAAGAAGGAGUUCAAAACAAAGAUCUGGCUGAGCGUCACUCAACAGUUCACCAAGGUGGAGCUACUAAGAACUGCCAUCUCCCAUGCCGGGGGGGUGCAUGGUGAUGAGAAGGACGAGACAAUCCUUGUGAACGCCCUCACCGACACCCUAUCAAAAAACAAGUUUCUGUUGGUCAUGGAUGAUGUGUGGAACCAAGAAGCAUGGGGCAAUGUGCUUCGAACCCCGGUUCUUAACGCCAAUGCUACACAACCAGGAAGCCGAGUCUUGGUUACCUCAAGAAAGGAUGAUGUUGUUAGGAGCAUGGGAGCUUCCAUCGUGCGUGUCAACAGGCUAAACGAUGAAGAUGCUUGGUGCUUGCUAAAGAAACAGCUGCCGCAGCCACAGGUCGGUGUUGGAAGUGAUUUUGAUGAGCUGAAAGAUAUUGGGAUGAAGAUUAUACAAAAAUGUGAUGGGUUACCACUUGCUAUUAAAGUUAUGGGUGGACUCUUAAGCACAAGAGAUCCUAAGGAACGCGACUGGGAAAUUGUUUUACAUAAGAAUCUUGGUUGGGAAGAAGAAGACGGGGAACAAGAGGAACUAAACUACUCAGUAAGCUUGAGCUACGAUGAUUUAUCUGUAGAGUUGAAGCAAUGCUUUCUGUACUACUCACUUUUGCCAAAGGAUUCGCGUUUUACAAGUCAAAGAAUUGCUAGCAUGUGGAUUUGUGAAGGGUUUGUUCAGCAUGAUGGGAGGUCAAAUUUAGAACAAGUCGAUCUAGAACAAAUAGGGGCUGAUUAUCAUCGGGAGUUGGUGGCUAGGAAUCUUUUGGAGCUCAAUUAUUCAAAUAAUAACAUAUGGCAGUACACCUUGCAUGAUGUUAUCCGCUCGUUUGCUCAAUUUAUGGCUAAAGAAGAAGCGUUCGUGGUUCACAAGGAUCAAGUUGACAUUAGAAAUCUUCUUCCAAAAAACAAUUCUAUUUGCCGUCUCUCGAUAAAAUCUACUCAUUCAGAACUAGAGUGGACCAUCCUAGAGAAGCAAGAAAGAUUGAGGACAUUAUUAUUGAUAGGCUGUAAGAUCAAACCUGGUGUCUCAUUGGAGAAUUUUGCUAGGCUACGGGUAUUGGAUAUAAGCUCCAAGGAAUCUGAUUGGUUAGUGGACUCUGUGUGUGAGCUAAGGCACCUAAGAUAUCUGUCAUUCUCCAAUACAAAUAUAUCUAGGCUUCCCGGUGACAUCCAUAAGAUGAGGUUCCUUCAACACAUUCAUCUCCAGAGCUGUACAAAGUUGGAAAAGCUCCCUGACAACAUCACAAAACUAGCGUGUUUAAGAUAUCUUAACUUACGUGGGUCCAAUGUAGAUGUUAUGCCAAGAGGGUUUGGUGGUCUAACAGAUUUGAGAUCCCUUCAUGGAUUUCCAGUGAAGAUGGAUGGGGACUGGUGCACUUUGGAAGAGUUGGAGGCUCUGUCACAUCUUAGAAAUCUUUCAGUCCAAGGUCUAGAGAAUGUGUCUAGUAGUUCAGUUGCAAAAAGGGCCAAGAUUAGCAACAAGAAGAGGCUGGAAUAUUUGGAUUUAAAGUGCUACAAGUACAACCAUUAUGAAGUGCGCCAAAUUGAGGUGGAGCAACAAGAGAUAAUAGAGGCUGUAUUUGAUGAGUUGUGCCCUUCACCUGCUAGAUUGGAGACACUAUUGAUACGAAGAUAUUUCGGUCGUCGACUACCAAAUUGGUUGCAGUCCCCAGUAGCAACAACCUUUAAAAGCUUGAAGGAUAUUACACUAGGGCACAUAACACACAGCACCCAACUACCCGAUGGUUUGUGCAGGAUACACGGUUUGGAAACACUACGUAUCUUGUAUGCUCCAGCCAUCGAGCAUGUCGGGCCUGACUUCCAGACCCAUGAUGGAGAUGGAGGUGCUGCAUUCCCAAAUCUGACAAGAUUGGAGCUGGGAGCCCUGUCCGAAUGGAAGGAGUGGGACUGGGAGGAGGAGGAGGAGCAGAGCAAAGUCAUAGCCAUGCCCGCUCUGGAGCAUCUCGUACUCAGGAACUGCAAGCUGACACACCUUCCUCCAGGACUUGCUAGUGACCGCAGGUACAAUCUGAGAACCAUGCGCCUACAGGAUCUCACGCUCCUAGAAUAUGUGGAGAACUUCCCUUCAGUUGUGGAGCUCAGAGCGUACGACUGCCCUGAGCUCAAGAGGAUGAGCGGCCUCUCCAAGCUGCGGACGGUCGACAUCUGCGAUUGCCCAAAGCUGGAGCUGCUGGAGGGCGUCCUGGCGCUGGACAGUAUGGAGUUGGAUUGCGAACACUGGGAGGUUACUGGACCAGAUGCCAGGUGCACCCCCAAGGCCAAGGGAUAUCAACAAGCUGAAGACGAACUGCCGCGUGAGCUCCCACAAGAUCUUGUUAUAACGAGGAUGAACUCGCUCAAGAGAUGA
RNAcentral lists this ribosomal RNA (3135 nucleotides) under Triticum aestivum (bread wheat). RNAcentral describes it as "partial small subunit ribosomal RNA". The record is from RNAcentral. Lineage: Eukaryota; Viridiplantae; Streptophyta; Magnoliopsida; Poales; Poaceae.